Molecule: ribosomal RNA, 467 nt
Filed under: uncultured bacterium
Lineage: Bacteria
Description: partial 16S ribosomal RNA
Rfam family: Bacterial small subunit ribosomal RNA
Source: RNAcentral
GAUGAACGCUGGCGGCGUGCUUAACACAUGCAAGUCGAACGAUGAAGCCCAGCUUGCUGGUUGGUUUAGUGGCGAACGGGUGAGUAACACGUGAGCAACUGGCCGCUGACGGUGGGAUAAGUGCUGGAAACGGCGCCUAUUACGGGAAAUGUCCGGUCACCGCAUGGUGUGCGGGUGGAAAGAUACUUCGGUAGGGGAUGGGUGGUCGGCCUAGCAGCUUGUUGGUGUGGUAAUGGCUCACCAAGGCGUAGACUGGUAGCCGACACGGGAUGGUGACCGGCGACACUAGGACUACGAGACGGAGCAGUGGCGUACGGGAGGCAGCAGUGGGGAAUAUUGCCCAGUGGGCGGGAGCGUGAUGCAGAAGUGCCGCGUGAGGGAAGACGGCUUUCGGGUUGUAAACCUCUUUUAGCUGGGAAGAAGCGAAAGUGACGGUACCUGCAGAAAAAGCACCGGCUAACUACGUG